RNAcentral lists this ribosomal RNA (505 nucleotides) under uncultured bacterium. Its description in RNAcentral is "bacterial SSU rRNA". It matches the Rfam family "Bacterial small subunit ribosomal RNA", at positions 28 to 521 of the family's 1533-position model. The record is from RNAcentral.
GAUGAACGCUGGCGGCAUGCCUAAUACAUGCAAGUCGAGGGGCAGCGGGAUUGUAGCAAUACAAUUGCCGGCGACCGGCGCACGGGUGAGUAAACACGUAUCCAACCUUCCGGUUACUCGGGGAUAGCCUUUCGAAAGAAGAUUAAUACCCGAUAGCAUAAGAUUUCCGCAUGGUUUUCUUAUUAAAGAUUCAUCGGUAACCGAUGGGGAUGCGUUCCAUUAGGUAGUAGGCGGGGUAACGGCCCACCUAGCCGACGAUGGAUAGGGGUUCUGAGAGGAAGGUCCCCCACAUUGGAACUGAGACACGGUCCAAACUCCUACGGGAGGCAGCAGUGAGGAAUAUUGGUCAAUGGGCGAGAGCCUGAACCAGCCAAGUAGCGUGAAAGGAUGACUGCCCUAAUGGGUUGUAAACUUCUUUUAUACGGGAAUAACACGCGGCACGUGUGCCGCCCUGCAUGUACCCGUAUGAAUAAGCAUCGGCUAACUCCGUGCCAGCAGCCGCAGU